GAGUGUAACUGCAGCAGCCAGUGGAUUUGUUGUCCUUCUUCUCACUGUGACAGUGGUACAGUGUGAGAAUGGCUGGGAUGUGAGUUACACUUCUACUGAGAUCUGUGCCGUCAGAGGAUCAACAGUGGACAUUAACUGACUGAUCCGGAGUAUUCAGGUCGUGUGGAGAAUCUCUGUGGAAACAACAAGUGCACUCUGAGAAUCU
Molecule: long non-coding RNA, 205 nt
Organism: Pleuronectes platessa (European plaice)
Lineage: Eukaryota; Metazoa; Chordata; Actinopteri; Pleuronectiformes; Pleuronectidae
Exons: 3
Source: RefSeq, a predicted model, not a curated record